AUCGCACUAGAUAAUAUAGUUACAGUGCCUUGCGAAAGUAUUCGGCCCCCUUGAACUUUUCGACCUUUUGCCACAUUUCAGGCUUCAAACAAAGAUAUAAAAAUGUAAUUUUUUGUGAAGAAUCAACAACAAGUGGGACACAAUCAUGAAGUGGAACGAAAUUUAUUGGAU
Long non-coding RNA from Sander lucioperca (pikeperch), 171 nucleotides. RefSeq lists it as uncharacterized. The record is from RefSeq and is a predicted model, not a curated record. Lineage: Eukaryota; Metazoa; Chordata; Actinopteri; Perciformes; Percidae. The transcript is spliced from 3 exons.